CAAAAACAUGGCUUCUCGAUUUAGGUUUUAUGGGAGGUCAGGCCUGCCCGGUGGAUUAGUCUAAACGGUCGCAGCUUUUACUGUGCUAAGGUAGCGUAAUAGGUCGUCCUUUAAUUGGGGAAAAGAAUGAAUGGUCAGAUGGUGGAAAGUCUUUAUUAGGGGCAAGAUUCGAAGUUCACUUCCAGUGUGCAAAGGCCUGGUUGUUUUUAUUAGACGAGAAGACCCUGUUGAGCUUAAUAAUGUAGGGUCAUUGCGGUCUUAUCAUACAUUUUUUCGGGGCCGAAUGGAAGGGAAACAUAUUCCUUCUUGCUAAGUUUAGAUCCAGCACGGUUGAAAAGAAGAAGAUAGUUACCACAGGGAUAACAGCGCAAUCCUUUCGUCAAGAUCAUAUUUGAGAAUGGGUUUGCGACCUCGAUGUUGAAUCAAAAUUUCUACUAGGUGUAGCAGCUUAGUAAGUGAGACUGUUCGUCUUUUAAAAUUUUACGUGAUC
This 490-nucleotide ribosomal RNA is filed under the name Soletellina virescens. RNAcentral's name for it is "partial 16S ribosomal RNA". It matches the Rfam family "Bacterial large subunit ribosomal RNA", at positions 1808 to 2605 of the family's 2925-position model. Lineage: Eukaryota; Metazoa; Mollusca; Bivalvia; Cardiida; Psammobiidae. The record is from RNAcentral.